GCGGCGGCGCGGGAGGCAGCUGGGGGCGCUGCGGGCUCGGCCCGGCCCGGCCUGAGCGGAGUCCUUAGAGAGAACGGUCCAGGGAGCGCGUCGUGAUGAGGCUGGGGCAGGCGGGGGCCUCCUCCUUCCACCUGUUUCCCUGUGUUCGGCCGUGUGUCCCGCACGGUACACCGGUGAAAAGAGGCGCCAGGUAUAUAGACAGAGACCUAGAGUGUGGAGCAGUGAUGGCGAGAGGAAAUACCUUGUAUUGCUUAAGUGCACUUACUGCCCUUCACCUCAGGCCUUGAACUUCCGUGGUGAUGUUGAGUGCUGUCAUUGCUACCCACAUGUGGCUCCCGACCUCUUGAAAUGUGGCUAGUCCAAAUCGAGAUGAACUGUAAGUUGUAAAAUGCACACUGAUUUCAAAGACGGGUUGCCAAGCAAAAAAAAAAAAAAAAAAAAAA
Molecule: long non-coding RNA, 443 nt
Organism: Canis lupus familiaris (dog)
Lineage: Eukaryota; Metazoa; Chordata; Mammalia; Carnivora; Canidae
Exons: 2
Source: RefSeq, a predicted model, not a curated record